RNAcentral lists this long non-coding RNA (247 nucleotides) under Phoenix dactylifera (date palm). Its description in RNAcentral is "long non-coding RNA (PDAC_LNC007220)". Lineage: Eukaryota; Viridiplantae; Streptophyta; Magnoliopsida; Arecales; Arecaceae. The record is from RNAcentral.
AUAGAAGAAAGCUUAGAUUAAUCUAUCCAUAACAAUAAAAAUUUACUACAUAUUUUCAUCUUUUUCUAUAUUUUUUAAUGUUUAUUUUUGUACGCUCAAUAAAAAGAGCAAUAUAAGCCAGCAUUGAGAAAUACAUCUUAAGAAUUAGGUAUAGGCAAAUAUAUAAAUCGAGCAAAAAACUAAAGAUUACCUUUGCCCCCCUCCUCCCCCACACAUGCCUCUCUCUUGGCAUUUUUUUCAUACUUUU